CAGUCGCCGCGGUAAAACCAGCACCUCGAGUGGUCAGGAGGUUUAUUGGGCCUAAAGCAUCCGUAGCCGGUUGCAUAAGUUUUCGGUUAAAUCUAUGCGCUUAACGUAUAGGCCGCCGAAAAUACUGUGCAGCUAGGGAGUGGGAGAGGUACACGGUACUCGAUAGGAAGGGGUAAAAUCCUUUGAUCUAUUGAUGACCACCUGUGGCGAAGGCGGUGUACCAGAACACGUUCGACGGUGAGGGAUGAAAGUUGGGGGAGCAAACCGGAUUAGAGACCCCAGUAGUCCCUGUCUCUUAUAC
This 301-nucleotide ribosomal RNA is filed under the name uncultured bacterium. RNAcentral's name for it is "partial 16S ribosomal RNA". It matches the Rfam family "Archaeal small subunit ribosomal RNA", at positions 459 to 760 of the family's 1478-position model. The record is from RNAcentral.